UUAAGUGACUAAGCGUACAAGGUGGAUGCCUUGGCAAUCAGAGGCGAAGAAGGACGUGCUAAUCUGCGAAAAGCUUGGGUGAGUUGAUAAGAAGCGUCUAACCCAAGAUAUCCGAAUGGGGCAACCCAGUAGAUGAAGAAUCUACUAUCAAUAACCGAAUCCAUAGGUUAUUGAGGCAAACCGGGAGAACUGAAACAUCUAAGUACCCCGAGGAAAAGAAAUCAACCGAGAUUACGUCAGUAGCGGCGAGCGAAAGCGUAAGAGCCGGCAAGUGAUAGCAUGAGGAUUAGAGGAAUCGGCUGGGAAGCCGGGCGGCACAGGGUGAUAGCCCCGUACUUGAAAAUCAUUGUGUGGUACUGAGCUUGCGAGAAGUAGGGCGGGACACGAGAAAUCCUGUUUGAAGAAGGGGGGACCAUCCUCCAAGGCUAAAUACUCCUGAUUGACCGAUAGUGAACCAGUACUGUGAAGGAAAGGCGAAAAGAACCCCGGUGAGGGGAGUGAAAUAGAACCUGAAACCUUGUACGUACAAGCAGUGGGAGCCCGCGAGGGUGACUGCGUACCUUUUGUAUAAUGGGUCAGCGACUUAUAUUAUGUAGCGAGGUUAACCGAAUAGGGGAGCCGAAGGGAAACCGAGUCUUAACUGGGCGUCGAGUUGCAUGAUAUAGACCCGAAACCCGGUGAUCUAGCCAUGGGCAGGUUGAAGGUUGGGUAACACUAACUGGAGGACCGAACCGACUAAUGUUGAAAAAUUAGCGGAUGACCUGUGGCUGGGGGUGAAAGGCCAAUCAAACCGGGAGAUAGCUGGUUCUCCCCGAAAUCUAUUUAGGUAGAGCCUUAUGUGAAUACCUUCGGGGGUAGAGCACUGUUUCGGCUAGGGGGCCAUCCCGGCUUACCAACCCGAUGCAAACUGCGAAUACCGAAGAGUAAUGCAUAGGAGACACACGGCGGGUGCUAACGUUCGUCGUGGAGAGGGAAACAACCCAGACCGCCAGCUAAGGUCCCAAAGUUUAUAUUAAGUGGGAAACGAAGUGGGAAGGCUUAGACAGCUAGGAUGUUGGCUUAGAAGCAGCCAUCAUUUAAAGAAAGCGUAAUAGCUCACUAGUCGAGUCGGCCUGCGCGGAAGAUGUAACGGGGCUCAAAUAUAGCACCGAAGCUGCGGCAUCAGGCGUAAGCCUGUUGGGUAGGGGAGCGUCGUGUAAGCGGAAGAAGGUGGUUCGAGAGGGCUGCUGGACGUAUCACGAGUGCGAAUGCUGACAUAAGUAACGAUAAAACGGGUGAAAAACCCGUUCGCCGGAAGACCAAGGGUUCCUGUCCAACGUUAAUCGGGGCAGGGUGAGUCGGCCCCUAAGGCGAGGCUGAAGAGCGUAGUCGAUGGGAAACGGGUUAAUAUUCCCGUACUUGUUAUAAUUGCGAUGUGGGGACGGAGUAGGUUAGGUUAUCGACCUGUUGGAAAAGGUCGUUUAAGUUGGUAGGUGGAGCGUUUAGGCAAAUCCGGACGCUUAUCAACACCGAGAGAUGAUGACGAGGCGCUAAGGUGCCGAAGUAACCGAUACCACACUUCCAGGAAAAGCCACUAAGCGUCAGAUUAUAAUAAACCGUACUAUAAACCGACACAGGUGGUCAGGUAGAGAAUACUCAGGCGCUUGAGAGAACUCGGGUGAAGGAACUAGGCAAAAUAGCACCGUAACUUCGGGAGAAGGUGCGCCGGCGUAGAUUGUAGAGGUAUACCCUUGAAGGUUGAACCGGUCGAAGUGACCCGCUGGCUGCAACUGUUUAUUAAAAACACAGCACUCUGCAAACACGAAAGUGGACGUAUAGGGUGUGAUGCCUGCCCGGUGCUGGAAGGUUAAUUGAUGGCGUUAUCGCAAGAGAAGCGCCUGAUCGAAGCCCCAGUAAACGGCGGCCGUAACUAUAACGGUCCUAAGGUAGCGAAAUUCCUUGUCGGGUAAGUUCCGACCUGCACGAAUGGCAUAAUGAUGGCCAGGCUGUCUCCACCCGAGACUCAGUGAAAUUGAAAUCGCCGUGAAGAUGCGGUGUACCCGCGGCUAGACGGAAAGACCCCGUGAACCUUUACUAUAGCUUGACACUGAACCUUGAAUUUUGAUGUGUAGGAUAGGUGGGAGGCUUUGAAGCGGUAACGCCAGUUAUCGUGGAGCCAUCCUUGAAAUACCACCCUUUAACGUUUGAUGUUCUAACGAAGUGCCCGGAACGGGUACUCGGACAGUGUCUGGUGGGUAGUUUGACUGGGGCGGUCUCCUCCCAAAGAGUAACGGAGGAGCACGAAGGUUUGCUAAUGACGGUCGGACAUCGUCAGGUUAGUGCAAUGGUAUAAGCAAGCUUAACUGCGAGACGGACAAGUCGAGCAGGUGCGAAAGCAGGUCAUAGUGAUCCGGUGGUUCUGAAUGGAAGGGCCAUCGCUCAACGGAUAAAAGGUACUCCGGGGAUAACAGGCUGAUACCGCCCAAGAGUUCAUAUCGACGGCGGUGUUUGGCACCUCGAUGUCGGCUCAUCACAUCCUGGGGCUGAAGUAGGUCCCAAGGGUAUGGCUGUUCGCCAUUUAAAGUGGUACGCGAGCUGGGUUUAAAACGUCGUGAGACAGUUUGGUCCCUAUCUGCCGUGGGCGUUGGAGAAUUGAGAGGGGCUGCUCCUAGUACGAGAGGACCGGAGUGGACGCAUCACUGGUGUUCCGGUUGUGUCGCCAGACGCAUUGCCGGGUAGCUACAUGCGGAAGAGAUAAGUGCUGAAAGCAUCUAAGCACGAAACUUGCCUCGAGAUGAGUUCUCCCAGUAUUUAAUACUGUAAGGGUUGUUGGAGACGACGACGUAGAUAGGCCGGGUGUGUAAGCGUUGCGAGACGUUGAGCUAACCGGUACUAAUUGCCCGAGAGGCUUAGCCAU
RNAcentral lists this ribosomal RNA (2896 nucleotides) under Pasteurella sp. RNAcentral's name for it is "bacterial LSU rRNA". It matches the Rfam family "Bacterial large subunit ribosomal RNA". Lineage: Bacteria; Pseudomonadati; Pseudomonadota; Gammaproteobacteria; Pasteurellales; Pasteurellaceae. The record is from RNAcentral. RNAcentral also lists the same sequence under 2 other names.